This 313-nucleotide ribosomal RNA is filed under the name uncultured bacterium. RNAcentral describes it as "bacterial SSU rRNA". It matches the Rfam family "Bacterial small subunit ribosomal RNA", at positions 28 to 334 of the family's 1533-position model. The record is from RNAcentral.
GAUGAACGCUGGCGGCGUGCCUAACACAUGCAAGUCGAACGGACUCAUACUGAAACCUAGUGAUUUAUGAGUUAGUGGCGGACGGGUGAGUAACGCGUGGAAAACCUGCCGUAUACCGGGGGAUAACACUUAGAAAUAGGUGCUAAUACCGCAUAAGCGCACAGCUUCGCAUGAAGCAGUGUGAAAAACUCCGGUGGUAUACGAUGGUUCCGCGUCUGAUUAGCUAGUUGGCGGGGUAACGGCCCACCAAGGCAGCGAUCAGUAGCCGGCCUGAGAGGGUGAACGGCCACAUUGGGACUGAGACACGGCCCAA